RNAcentral lists this ribosomal RNA (310 nucleotides) under uncultured eukaryote. Its description in RNAcentral is "partial 18S ribosomal RNA". It matches the Rfam family "Eukaryotic small subunit ribosomal RNA", at positions 1470 to 1796 of the family's 1831-position model. The record is from RNAcentral.
CCCUUAGAUGUUCUGGGCGGCCCGCGCACUACAAUGGCGCUUUCAGCGAGUUCCUAUGUUGAAUUUUCCUUGGUAUUCUUGGAAGCGGCGUCUUGACUUGGGAUAGAUCCUUGUAAUUGUUGGUUUUGAACGAGGAAUUCCUUGUAAUCGCGGUUGAUCAGCUCGCGUUGAAUACGUCCCUGCCCUUUGUACACACCGCCCGUCGCUCCUACCGAUGAAUCGUCCGGUGAAGUUCGCAGAGUGGCGGUUCGUGGAGUUGCUCGCGAAGUGAAAUGGACCUCACGAUUUAGAGGAAGGAGAAGUCGUAACA